CUGAAGAUGGGAACGCUGAGACACUGCCUCCCGAUCUCCUAGGUGACAGGAGCUUGUGUCACUAAUUGGUCCCCGAGCCUGCGGCACCGGUGACGCGAUGGGGCUGAAAGGCAGCAAUUACAGCUGAAGGGAUUCGGUAAAGAAUUCGGUGAGAACGAAAGUUGGGCGUGCACACAGGGGAUUUAAUCUGUGUUUGUUCACACAGACCUGUUGUCUAGCGAGUUACUCUGAAGAGGAGCCUCGGGCUGCAGGAUUAAUUAAUGCUGGUUCAUGCACUACUCCCAGAUAUUAAGAAACACAUUGUAAGAAGUCUGUCUCCUCGAAAUAAGGUGUGGACGCACAGCAGAGGCUGGCUGCUCUCCAGUGCUGCUGCUCUCCUGCUCUGGGUGACCUUCAAAGAGCAGCAGUCCAAGUUGGAUUGUUCUGGGACAAAGGCUUGUUCCCAUGGCCUGGGACUCAGUGUCCAUGGGACACUCAGCCACUCACUGACCUCACUUCCUCCGCCUUCCCAAGGGCUUUAUAAGCAUAAGCCAGCAGCAGGGACAAUCUGUGACAGGACAGCCAAAUCUGCUGUUGUAACCAGCACCACAUUCCGUAGUCCUGUGCUGAAACAGGGCCAUGCAGUGUCUGGCUGCCUUGUUCCAGUGCCUGGCUCUGCCCAUGAGGAUCAGGAAGAUCCUGCCCAGAGGUGA
RNAcentral lists this long non-coding RNA (692 nucleotides) under Zonotrichia albicollis (white-throated sparrow). RNAcentral describes it as "lncRNA (ENSZALG00000009221.1)". The record is from RNAcentral. Lineage: Eukaryota; Metazoa; Chordata; Aves; Passeriformes; Passerellidae.